UACAGAGGGUGCAAGCGUUGUUCGGAAUUACCGGGCGUAAAGCGCGUGUAGGCUGCGAUGUAAGUCAGGUGUGAAAGCCCUCAGCUUAACUGAGGAAGUGCACUUGAUACUGUGUCGCUUGAGUGUCGGAGGGGGUGGCGGAAUUCCCGGUGUAGAGGUGAAAUUCGUAGAUAUCGGGAGGAACACCUGUGGCGAAGGCGGCCACCUGGACGACAACUGACGCUGAGACGCGAAAGCGUGGGUAGCAAACAGG
Molecule: ribosomal RNA, 253 nt
Filed under: uncultured bacterium
Lineage: Bacteria
Description: partial 16S ribosomal RNA
Rfam family: Bacterial small subunit ribosomal RNA
Source: RNAcentral